CAGAGUGCGCUACUGGGCUCUAGGCGCGCGCGAUUGAAACUGCGUUUGGAGUAGAGGUACUGAAGUAACCUUUCUCAUGGAAAUUAAGCUGAAAUAUAGCGGCGUGGUGCGGGGAACAAAGAGAUAAAAGUUAUGGGGGAAAUAUUUGAAUGGAUUGAAAUCAAACGACACUACGGUAUAUCCAAGUCAUAAGGACAAUUUGGUAAUUCUUCAGUAAUUCCUUUCUCCGAUAAAAUAAACGGGGAAGAGCGUUCUCCUUCUGGUAGAGACAGUCUUGGGGCUUGGGGACUGACUAAAGUAAAAAUCCGUCCCAAUGUACCCCACCUUCCUUUGCGGCCGCUACGGCCAGCUGGAGAGCCACCUGCGAAUAACCCCCUCUCCUCCAACUUCCCCUUCCACCGACCGGCGGACUCUACGGCGGAGCUGGGCGGAGCGGAGCGCCCGGAGCUUGGACUUGGAGCCAUCAGUUUGGGAAUCACACUGAGCAGCGCCUCGCACCGCGCCGGCUCCCUGGUUGCCCUCUCAACCUCCGCGACACCUCCGCGACGCGCUUCAUGUCCCUCCGGCCAACUCCAUCAGCCUCGGGCUGUCCGGCCCGCGUGCCUCGCGCCCCCGCCCGCUUUGACUGCUCACCCGUCGCCCGCCGCUCGGAGUUGGAGCCCCGUCUCGCGUGCCGUCUCGUCAUCCUGCUGCCGCCGAGGCUCGGGCCGCGUAUCGGACUCUGGUUACCGUCGCAGCCGUGUCCCCACUCGCCUCCCCCAGAAGCUUCAUCGAAAUGCAAGUCCAUCAGGUUCAGUGUAAAGUGCAAAAUGGCCACAUAAGUGAAAGUGGAACAACGCGAAGCGUGCAAUGGCCUUGAAGUGAAGUGAAGUGUAGUGUAGUGAAGUGCAGUGUUGUUGAAGUGCUCAAGUCUGAAGCUCUCUGCGUGGGUGCGGCACCCGCGCCGCUGUCAUGUCGGCGCUGGACCUGGCGCCCCGCGACUCUGUGUGGCUGGCUGGCGAUCGACUCACGGUAGGACCCGUCUGUCUCAUCGGGGAAUAGUCAAAUAGGGCCUGAUGGCAGCUCAGCGUUAGGUCUCCCCAACUUCAUAGGUCCCUUUUCAUUCUUCAAAACGAUCACGAAACACAACUCAGGUACACAGCACACAGGAGGGAAUGACCAGCAACUGUCGUAUGAGACAAGCGUAAGGCGUUCUCGCGAGGCGAUAUCGGCGUGGACCGUUGUGGCGACGCGCAUCGACGCGGCCUGUACGGAAGAAUUAAUGAACAUUCGGAUUAACGCGGAUCAACGCGGCCUACGUAAACAAUGUUAAAGAUUCGGAUUAACGCGGAUUAAUUAACGACUGCCGCUCUAUUUACCUGGAAGAGAUUCGAAUGGUUGAUGUUGCAAUGCACCCCAUGACAGGUCAGGAAUCAGUCCCAUUUUACUGAGUUACAUUUUACAGUUGGCUUUGGUUUGCUUUUGUUUCUGAUUGUUAUCAUUGUCGACAGGAUGUCAAAGAUGUCUAUAUUGGCCUGCCGGCGAGAACAAGAUGCCACACGUCGGGCGCCGCUGGGCCACCCGGUGCUGGCCGCCCCCCUCCUGCUCGCCGCUCACCACCGCCCGUCUGCUCACCGCUCUCCACCGCCCGUCUGCUCACCGCUCACCACCGCCCGUCUUCUCGCCGCUCACCACUCACCACCCCCGGUCGCCACCCCUGCUCCUGUUUUCUCUGUUAGCAGGAUUUUCAGGUUCCAGUCCAGCCGUCGAUACGCCUCUCCGCGCACGCCGGCCCCCGCCGCAACUCAGCUGCCCAGCGGACAAGUACAACCGAACCUUCAAGCGGCUGGACGAACCCGAAUGCUGAUGCUGCAGCUCCUGGACGUGGUCGGCAGACUACAGCCCUGGCUGUCGAGACAGCCCAGCCUGCACCUACCCGACCUACCCACCACUCCGCUCAACUCAGACGCAGCCCUGCUGGAGCAUCACUACGUCACCACGGCCUCACCGCUAAGGGCCUCGCUCGCGCCUUCAUCGUCUGCAAGUAAGUGGGAGCUGACCGCAUCUUCUGUAGCUUCUACUUGGCUUGGUUGUUAAUUUGCAUAAAUGGUUUCAAUCUAAUGCUACUAUUGUACUUGUUGCAGAGCCCCCGUCCCGUGGGAGUCACACCUUCGUCUACAACUUUACCGCCCGCCCCGCCCAGGAAGUCUGCAGGACGCCCUUGCCGCCGACCCCGACCGUACCCGUUGGCCACCCCUCUGCUCGCCGCUGACCACCCCCGUUUGCCGCCCAUGCUCUUGCGGGCACUCCGUUUGUUACCGCCCAGAAUACGAAGGUUUCAGCCCGGCUGCGCCUCGCCCGCCGCCCCCCGCCGCCCCUCCCCGCGACUCAGCUGCCGAGCGGACGAGUGAAACUUGAAGGCCUCCAAGUGGGUGGGCGAACAUGAAUGCUGCAGCUCGUGCCUUGAAGUGACCCCGGUCAUUCCCUGCUGGCGUCUCUUCUCGGUUGCUGGCUGGUGCACCGCCCUGGACCGCAGCUGGCUGUGGGUUUGUUUCAUUGCCACCGUGGCAUAGCGAGGGCGAAGUGAUCGCUGCCCAACUGCACGUGUCUAAUAUACUUUGUUCUGUUUCGCUUUACGCCGCUGCCGCCUGGCCGUCGAGACGGCCCAAUCACCGCCUUGAACUCCGCUCGACCGGCACGCAGCCCUGGACCACGGCCUCGCCGCUGAGGGCCUCGCUCGCGCCUUCAUCGUCUACCUGGAAAGUCGCCAUGUGAGACACGCCUGCUCGUAGGUGUAGCCUCUGCUGCCACUGCAAGACCCUACGCCAGGACACGCCAGGACACGCCCCAUCUUGUCGAUUUGACCAUGGCAGUCUGCUACAAGGCCGCUUCGCUGUCUUCCUAAAGUUCUUGGUGACGUAGCGGGAAGCUGCUGGUCAAAUGCAUCAACAACUAUAGAGUCUCUCAAAUUGGAGAGAGUUCUCUGGAAGCCGCCACAUCUCUCCACAUUAAGGAUGCAUCUCUCCGAGGCUUAUGACAGGUCAGUUAUUUGAAUAUCUUCUAUUUAUUCCGAUGUGAAUAUCUCACUACUUUAUUCAAUGUACUUUUUGCUGUUGUGUCUGCCACUCUCUAUUCUGUAUUCGUACACUAAUUAUCUCUGUGAUAUAUUUAUUCAAAUGUAAGCCUUUUACGUAACUUUACUAAAACAUACUACAUAUAAGUACAGAAACCUAGCGAAGUCUAAUUUGAAAUGAAAGUGUUACAUCAAUGUGGAUUUUCGUUUUAAAACAUACUACAUUUUGGUAUUUAUGUUUCAGCCGACGUCGAACUGCUGCUCUGCAACCAAACGGAGUCAUUCCAUCUUCAAGUUUCAAGACAGCAAAAUUCCAUUUUCAAGUUUCAAGACAGCAUAAUUCACUUGUUAUUCUUCUUUGUACAAAUAUGAGACUUAGGGGCACAUGGUUACAGCGUUUAUGUUAUGUAUCAUUCCUGUCUUGCCUACUGGACUUUAUUGACAAUGACUUCUUCCUUCUGUCUUUGUAUGUACAAGCAUGAGCACUCACUUAUUGGUGGUUUCUGUUGAUAUUCUAAAUUUGGUGUUAGUUGCUUAUUUGCAUGUUUGGUUGUAAAGUUGUGUUCGGGGUAGUGUAAAUUCUGUGUGGUUUAUCUUUGCCUUGACUAAACGAGAAACUUGACACUUCUACCUCUUUCUCUUCAUCAAAACUAGUAUAAAAUUAUUCGGUUUACUUCAAUUGUACUUCAGUUUCUUAAUGUGUUUUAAUGUAACUGAAUCUUACAAGGAUCUAGUUUUACGCUACUCCUAGGUUUGUGUGGACAUCCCUGUCAUACUGAGUCCUCAAACUUUCAGUGAAGUUUCUAUGAUACCUGUAAAUUUCAUCACUUUGCUGACCGGCCGACUUGAUGUAAAUCAAUUUUUGCAAUUUUCUCAGUUAAAUAUACUAAAUAAUACCUGCUAUAUUUAUCUGUGGAACUUUAUUUGAAUUAAUGCCCUUUGCUUGUGCUUUCCACUCAUUGUCUGUGACUGCAGAGCAAGCUGUUGAUUUAAUAAAUUUCUUGCUAGAGAUCA
This is a long non-coding RNA of Frankliniella occidentalis (western flower thrips), 4066 nucleotides long. RefSeq lists it as uncharacterized. NCBI's taxonomy places the organism in Eukaryota, Metazoa, Arthropoda, Insecta, Thysanoptera, Thripidae. The record is from RefSeq and is a predicted model, not a curated record. The transcript has 5 exons.